GUAGGGAAUCUUGCGCAAUGGGCGAAAGCCUGACGCAGCCAUGCCGCGUGAAUGAUGAAGGUCUUAGGAUUGUAAAAUUCUUUCACCGGGGACGAUAAUGACGGUACCCGGAGAAGAAGCCCCGGCUAACUUCGUGCCAGCAGCCGCGGUAAUACGAAGGGGGCUAGCGUUGCUCGGAAUUACUGGGCGUAAAGGGCGCGUAGGCGGACAGUUUAGUCAGAGGUGAAAGCCCAGGGCUCAACCUUGGAAUUGCCUUUGAUACUGGCUGUCUUGCGUAGGGGAGAGGGGAAUGGAACUCCGAGUGUAGAGGUGAAAUUCGUAGAUAUUCGGAAGAACACCAGUGGCGAAGGCGACUCACUGGCCCGUUACUGACGCUGAGGCGCGAAAGCGUGGGGAGCAAACAGGAUUAGAUACCCUAGUAGUCC
This 425-nucleotide ribosomal RNA is filed under the name uncultured bacterium. Its description in RNAcentral is "partial 16S ribosomal RNA". It matches the Rfam family "Bacterial small subunit ribosomal RNA", at positions 354 to 796 of the family's 1533-position model. The record is from RNAcentral.